GGACGAACGCUGGCGGCGUGCUUAACACAUGCAAGUCGAACGAUGAAGCUGGAGCUUGCUCCGGUGGAUUAGUGGCGAACGGGUGAGUAACACGUGAGAAAUCUGCCCUUGACUCUGGGAUAACUGCGGGAAACUGUAGCUAAUACCGGAUACUUUCCUUGGUGGGCAUCCACUGGGGAAGAAAGAAUUUCGGUCAAGGAUGAUCUCGCGGCCUAUCAGCUUGUUGGUGAGGUAAUGGCUCACCAAGGCGACGACGGGUAGCCGGCCUGAGAGGGUGACCGGCCACACUGGGACUGAGACACGGCCCAGACUCCUACGGGAGGCAGCAGUGGGGAAUAUUGCACAAUGGGCGCAAGCCUGAUGCAGCAACGCCGCGUGAGGGACGAAGGCCUUCGGGUUGUAAACCUCUUUUAGCAGGGAAGAAGCGAAAGUGACGGUACCUGCAGAAAAAGCACCGGCUAACUACGUGCCAGCAGCCGCGGUAAUACGUAGGGUGCAAGCGUUGUCCGGAAUUAUUGGGCGUAAAGAGCUCGUAGGCGGUUUGUCACGUCUGCUGUGAAAUUUCGAGGCUCAACCUCGAACUUGCAGUGGGUACGGGCAGGCUAGAGUGCGGUAGGGGAGAUGGGAAUUCCCUGGUGUAGCGGUGGAAUGCGCAGAUAUCAGGAGGAACACCAAUGGCGAAGGCACAUCUCUGGGCCGUAACUGACGCUGAGGAGCGAAAGCGUGGGGAACAAACAGGAUUAGAUACCCUGGUAGUCCACGCCGUAAACGGUGGGUGCUAGCUGUGGGCCACAUUCCACGUGGUCCGUGACGAAGUUAACACAUUAAGCACCCCGCCUGGGGAGUACGGCCGCAAGGCUAAAACUCAAAGGAAUUGACGGGGGCCCGCACAAGCGGCGGAGCAUGCGGAUUAAUUCGAUGCAACGCGAAGAACCUUACCAAGGCUUGACAUAUAGAGGAAAAGUGCAGAAAUGUACUCCCCGCAAGGUCUCUAUACAGGUGGUGCAUGGUUGUCGUCAGCUCGUGUCGUGAGAUGUUGGGUUAAGUCCCGCAACGAGCGCAACCCUCGUCCUAUGUUGCCAGCACGUAAUGGUGGGAACUCAUGGGAUACUGCCGGGGUCAACUCGGAGGAAGGUGGGGAUGACGUCAAAUCAUCAUGCCCCUUAUGUCUUGGGCUUCACGCAUGCUACAAUGGCCGGUACAGAGGGCUGCAAUACCGUAAGGUGGAGCGAAUCCCAAAAAGCCGGUCUCAGUUCGGAUUGAGGUCUGCAACUCGACCUCAUGAAGUCGGAGUCGCUAGUAAUCGUAGAUCAGCAACGCUACGGUGAAUACGUUCCCGGGCCUUGUACACACCGCCCGUCAAGUCACGAAAGUCGGUAACACCCGAAGCCGGUGGCCUAACCGUAAGGAAGGAGCCGUCGAAGGUGGGAUUGGUGAUUGGGAC
This 1444-nucleotide ribosomal RNA is filed under the name uncultured bacterium. RNAcentral's name for it is "bacterial SSU rRNA". It matches the Rfam family "Bacterial small subunit ribosomal RNA". The record is from RNAcentral.